GAGGGUAUAGCUCAAGUAGUAGAAUGCAUGCUCAGCACGCAUGAGGUCCUGGGUUCAAUCCCCAGUACUUCCU
Molecule: transfer RNA, 73 nt
Organism: Camelus ferus (Wild Bactrian camel)
Lineage: Eukaryota; Metazoa; Chordata; Mammalia; Artiodactyla; Camelidae
Rfam family: tRNA
About the family: Transfer RNA (tRNA) molecules are approximately 80 nucleotides in length.
Source: Rfam